Unclassified non-coding RNA from Callithrix jacchus (white-tufted-ear marmoset), 116 nucleotides. It matches the Rfam family "Metazoan signal recognition particle RNA". Rfam says of the family: The signal recognition particle (SRP) is a universally conserved ribonucleoprotein. It is involved in the co-translational targeting of proteins to membranes. The record is from Ensembl. Lineage: Eukaryota; Metazoa; Chordata; Mammalia; Primates; Cebidae.
GCUGGGUGUGGUGGCUCAUGCCUGUAAUCCAAGCACUUUGGAGGCCAAGACGGGCGGAUCAUCUGAGGUCGGGAGUUCAAGACCAGCCUGACCAACAUGGUGAAACCCCGUCUUUA